GACGAACGCUGGCGGCGUGCCUAAUACAUGCAAGUCGAGCGGACGGAUGGGAGCUUGCUCCCAGACCGUCAGCGGCGGACGGGUGAGUAACACGUGGGCAACCUGCCUGUAAGACUGGGAUAACUCCGGGAAACCGGGGCUAAUACCGGAUAACUCUUUCCCUCACAUGAGGGAAAGCUGAAAGAUGGCAUCUCGCUAUCACUUACAGAUGGGCCCGCGGCGCAUUAGCUAGUUGGUGAGGUAACGGCUCACCAAGGCGACGAUGCGUAGCCGACCUGAGAGGGUGAUCGGCCACACUGGGACUGAGGCACGGCCCAGACUCCUACGGGAGGCAGCAGUAGGGAAUCUUCCGCAAUGGACGAAAGUCUGACGGAGCAACGCCGCGUGAGUGAUGAAGGUUUUCGGAUCGUAAAACUCUGUUGUCAGGGAAGAACAAGUACCGGAGUAACUGCCGGUACCUUGACGGUACCUGACCAGAAAGCCACGGCUAACUACGUG
This 498-nucleotide ribosomal RNA is filed under the name uncultured bacterium. Its description in RNAcentral is "partial 16S ribosomal RNA". It matches the Rfam family "Bacterial small subunit ribosomal RNA", at positions 28 to 507 of the family's 1533-position model. The record is from RNAcentral.